Molecule: ribosomal RNA, 694 nt
Filed under: Microbacterium sp.
Lineage: Bacteria; Bacillati; Actinomycetota; Actinomycetes; Micrococcales; Microbacteriaceae
Description: bacterial SSU rRNA
Rfam family: Bacterial small subunit ribosomal RNA
Source: RNAcentral
AUGCAAGUCGAACGGUGAAGCAGAGCUUGCUCUGUGGAUCAGUGGCGAACGGGUGAGUAACACGUGAGCAACCUGCCCUGGACUCUGGGAUAAGCGCUGGAAACGGCGUCUAAUACUGGAUACGAGACGUGGCCGCAUGGUCAACGUUUGGAAAGAUUUUUUGGUUCAGGAUGGGCUCGCGGCCUAUCAGCUUGUUGGUGAGGUAAUGGCUCACCAAGGCGUCGACGGGUAGCCGGCCUGAGAGGGUGACCGGCCACACUGGGACUGAGACACGGCCCAGACUCCUACGGGAGGCAGCAGUGGGGAAUAUUGCACAAUGGGCGAAAGCCUGAUGCAGCAACGCCGCGUGAGGGAUGACGGCCUUCGGGUUGUAAACCUCUUUUAGCAAGGAAGAAGCGAAAGUGACGGUACUUGCAGAAAAAGCGCCGGCUAACUACGUGCCAGCAGCCGCGGUAAUACGUAGGGCGCAAGCGUUAUCCGGAAUUAUUGGGCGUAAAGAGCUCGUAGGCGGUUUGUCGCGUCUGCUGUGAAAACUGGAGGCUCAACCUCCAGCCUGCAGUGGGUACGGGCAGACUAGAGUGCGGUAGGGGAGAUUGGAAUUCCUGGUGUAGCGGUGGAAUGCGCAGAUAUCAGGAGGAACACCGAUGGCGAAGGCAGAUCUCUGGGCCGUAACUGACGCUGAGGAGCGAAAGGG